AGUGGGAUAACUGGGUCAAAUGGUGGUUCCAUUCCUAGAUUUUGAGGAAUCUUCAUAUUGCUUUCCAGAAUGGUUGCACCAAUUUGCAGUCCCACCAACAAU
RNAcentral lists this microRNA precursor (102 nucleotides) under Marmota monax (woodchuck). Lineage: Eukaryota; Metazoa; Chordata; Mammalia; Rodentia; Sciuridae. The record is from RNAcentral.